GCCUCUAUUAGCUCAGUUGGUUAGAGCGUGGUGCUAAUAACGCAAACGUCCAUUUCCUCGUUCCGAGCAAAUGUCCGCGAGCUUUAUUGUGCAAAGGUCGGUGGAUCAAUCCCGCCAAUGGGCA
Non-coding RNA from Rhizoclosmatium globosum, 124 nucleotides. Lineage: Eukaryota; Fungi; Chytridiomycota; Chytridiomycetes; Chytridiales; Chytriomycetaceae. The record is from the annotation of a GenBank genome assembly.